RNAcentral lists this transfer RNA (70 nucleotides) under Candidatus Methanomethylophilus sp. 1R26. It matches the Rfam family "tRNA". Rfam says of the family: Transfer RNA (tRNA) molecules are approximately 80 nucleotides in length. Their secondary structure includes four short double-helical elements and three loops (D, anti-codon, and T loops). Further hydrogen bonds mediate the characteristic L-shaped molecular structure. tRNAs have two regions of fundamental functional importance: the anti-codon, which is responsible for specific mRNA codon recognition, and the 3' end, to which the tRNAs corresponding amino acid is attached (by aminoacyl-tRNA synthetases). tRNAs cope with the degeneracy of the genetic code in two manners: having more than one tRNA (with a specific anti-codon) for a particular amino acid; and 'wobble' base-pairing, i.e. permitting non-standard base-pairing at the 3rd anti-codon position. The record is from Rfam by way of RNAcentral. Lineage: Archaea; Methanobacteriati; Thermoplasmatota; Thermoplasmata; Methanomassiliicoccales; Methanomethylophilaceae.
CCGCUGUGGCUAAGGGGUAUAGCGACGCUUGGUAAGGCGUAGGCCGAGGGUUCAAUUCCCUCCAGCGGCU